This 429-nucleotide ribosomal RNA is filed under the name uncultured bacterium. RNAcentral's name for it is "bacterial SSU rRNA". It matches the Rfam family "Bacterial small subunit ribosomal RNA", at positions 355 to 801 of the family's 1533-position model. The record is from RNAcentral.
UCGGGAAUUUUGGGCAAUGGGGGAAACCCUGACCCAGCAACGCCGCGUGAAGGAUGAAGUAUUUCGGUAUGUAAACUUCGAAAGAAUAGGAAGAAUAAAUGACGGUACUAUUUAUAAGGUCCGGCUAACUACGUGCCAGCAGCCGCGGUAAUACGUAGGGACCAAGCGUUGUUCGGAUUUACUGGGCGUAAAGGGUGCGUAGGCGGCAUGACAAGUCACUUGUGAAAUCUCUGGGCUUAACCCAGAACGGCCAAGUGAUACUGUCGCGCUAGAGUGCAGAAGGGGCAAUCGGAAUUCUUGGUGUAGCGGUGAAAUGCGUAGAUAUCAAGAGGAACACCUGAGGUGAAGACGGGUUGCUGGGCUGACACUGACGCUGAGGCGCGAAAGCCAGGGGAGCAAACGGGAUUAGAUACCCCUGUAGUCCCUGAG